RNAcentral lists this ribosomal RNA (837 nucleotides) under Aglaia elaeagnoidea. RNAcentral describes it as "eukaryotic LSU rRNA". The stretch from base 386 to 541 matches the Rfam family "5.8S ribosomal RNA". Lineage: Eukaryota; Viridiplantae; Streptophyta; Magnoliopsida; Sapindales; Meliaceae. The record is from RNAcentral.
CUUGGGCGGUUCGCUGCUUGUGACGUCGCGAGAAGUCCACUGAACCUUAUCAUUUAGAGGAAGGAGAAGUCGUAACAGAGGUUUCCGUAGGUGAACCUGCGGAAGGAUCAUUGUCGAAGCCUGCGCAGCAGAACGACCCGCGAACUCGUGAUUACGCUCGCGGGGGCCUGGUGCAGGUCGCUCGAGCUCCUCGAGCCAGAGCGGCCCGAGCCCGGCGCCCGCCCGUCGCGGUGUGCGAGCACUGUCUCGCUCCUCGUGGCAAAACAACAAAACCCCGGCGCGAGUUGCGCCAAGGAAAAUCCAACGAGAGAGAGCGCUGCUCCCGCCGCCCCCGACGCGGUGUGCGUGCGGAGUGCGUUGCCUUCUUUCAACGAAAAUCCAAUACGACUCUCGGCAACGGAUAUCUCGGCUCUCGCAUCGAUGAAGAACGUAGCGAAAUGCGAUACUUGGUGUGAAUUGCAGAAUCCCGUGAACCAUCGAGUCUUUGAACGCAAGUUGCGCCCCAAGCCGUUAGGCUGAGGGCACGUCUGCCUGGGUGUCACGCAUCGUUGCCCCCCAAACCCCUUCCCAGGGGAUCGUUGGGCGGCGGAAACUGGCCUCCCGUGCGCUGCAAGCUCGCGGUUGGCCCAAAUUCGAGCCCCUGGGCGACCGGGCCGCGACGAUCGGUGGUGAAAUGAGCCUCUCGAACUCGCGUCGCGUGCUCGCGUCCUCUGUUGUGGGCUCGCGGACCCUUCGAGCGCCUUCUAUCUCUGGCGCUGCUACCUUCGCGACCCCAGGUCAGGCGGGACUACCCGCUGAGUUUAAGCAUAUCAAUAAGCGGAGGAAAAGAACUUACCA